This is a regulatory RNA element of Lysinibacillus odysseyi 34hs-1 = NBRC 100172, 85 nucleotides long. It matches the Rfam family "pan motif". NCBI's taxonomy places the organism in Bacteria, Bacillati, Bacillota, Bacilli, Caryophanales, Bacillaceae. The record is from Rfam.
UGGACAGUAUCCUUUGUGAACUGUACCUGCUAUACCCAAUUUUAUGAAGAGUCUGCCUUGAUCUACUUUAGACAGGGACGGAAGA